Molecule: unclassified non-coding RNA, 323 nt
Filed under: soil metagenome
Description: partial contains 5.8S ribosomal RNA, internal transcribed spacer 2, and large subunit ribosomal RNA
Rfam family: 5.8S ribosomal RNA (bases 1-120)
Source: RNAcentral
GAUGAAGAACGCAGCGAAAUGCGAUAAGUAGUGUGAAUUGCAGAAUUCAGUGAAUCAUCGAAUCUUUGAACGCACAUUGCGCCCCUUGGUAUUCCAUGGGGCAUGCCUGUUCGAGCGUCAUUUGUACCUUUAAGCUUUGCUUGGUGUUGGGUGUUUGUCCUGAGGGACUCGCCUUAAAGUAAUUGGCAGCCAGUGUUUGGUUUUGAAGCGCAGCACAAGUCGCGAUUCAAGGCUAUGCACCAGCUUCCACAAGCCUUUUUCACUUUUGACCUCGGAUCAGGUAGGGAUACCCGCUGAACUUAAGCAUAUCAAUAAGCGGAGGA